This 253-nucleotide ribosomal RNA is filed under the name uncultured bacterium. RNAcentral describes it as "partial 16S ribosomal RNA". It matches the Rfam family "Bacterial small subunit ribosomal RNA", at positions 524 to 776 of the family's 1533-position model. The record is from RNAcentral.
UACCGAGGGUGCAAGCGUUGUUCGGAAUUAUUGGGCGUAAAGCGCGUGUAGGCGGCUUGUUAAGUCGGGUGUGAAAGCCCUCAGCUCAACUGAGGAAGUGCGCCCGAAACUGGCGAGCUUGAGUGUCGGAGAGGAUGGCGGAAUACCCCAAGUAGAGGUGAAAUUCGUAGAUAUGGGGUGGAACACCGGUGGCGAAGGCGGCCAUCUGGACGACAACUGACGCUGAGACGCGAAAGCGUGGGGAGCAAACAGG